Drosophila melanogaster (fruit fly) is the source of this 344-nucleotide non-coding RNA. NCBI's taxonomy places the organism in Eukaryota, Metazoa, Arthropoda, Insecta, Diptera, Drosophilidae. The record is from Ensembl.
CCAUUGUUUUCAGUGCAGGCAGCGAUCUAAUGGUGGAACUGAUGUGGUGUGGCUAAGCUGGCAGCCAAGUGAAUGCAUGUGUGCUUCUCCUAGUUCGUCUAGUACUCCUGGUCCUUGUCCUCCUCCGCAAACCUCAUCCUCGUCGCCAUCCUUCAAGCUCUUCAGCUGCAACCGCCGGCUGUCUUUUAUUUUAAGCAGCCAACGCGGAAAAAUACCUGAAACAAAAACAAAAGUAAAAGCAAAAAGAAUGCCAGGGGAGUGGAAAAUGGCUGGAAAUCAAACACAAAACCUGGCCAAGGCAGCCCCUGUGUAUGGUGGGAAAACCUAAAACGGGAAAAUCUCCG